Molecule: ribosomal RNA, 652 nt
Filed under: uncultured bacterium
Lineage: Bacteria
Description: bacterial SSU rRNA
Rfam family: Bacterial small subunit ribosomal RNA
Source: RNAcentral
CGUGAUAAAGCGAAAGCGUUAAGCAUUCCACCUGGGGAGUACGCCGGCAACGGUGAAACUCAAAGGAAUUGACGGGGGCCCGCACAAGCGGAGGAACAUGUGGUUUAAUUCGAUGAUACGCGAGGAACCUUACCCGGGCUCAAACGCAGGAGGGAUGUUUUUGAAAGGAGGCAGCUCUUCGGAGCCUCCUGCGAGGUGCUGCAUGGUUGUCGUCAGCUCGUGCCGUGAGGUGUCGGCUUAAGUGCCAUAACGAGCGCAACCCCCACCGACAGUUGCCAUCAGGUCAGGCUGGGCACUCUGUCGGGACUGCCGGCGCAAGCUGUGAGGAAGGCGGGGAUGACGUCAAAUCAGCACGGCCCUUACGUCCGGGGCGACACACGUGUUACAAUGGCAGGCACAGCGGGAAGCCACCUGGCGACAGGGAGCGGAACCCGAAAUCCUGUCUCAGUUCGGAUUGGAGUCUGCAACCCGACUCCAUGAAGCUGGAUUCGCUAGUAAUCGCGCAUCAGCCACGGCGCGGUGAAUACGUUCCCGGGCCUUGUACACACCGCCCGUCAAGCCAUGGAAGCCGGGAGUGCCUGAAGUGCGUGACCGCAAGGAGCGCCCUAGGGUAAAACCGGUGACUGGGGCUAAGUCGUAACAAGGUAACCGU